AUCGCGGCCUAUCAGCUUGUUGGUGGGGUAACGGCCUACCAAGGCGACGACGGGUAGCCGGCCUGAGAGGGCGACCGGCCACACUGGGACUGAGACACGGCCCAGACUCCUACGGGAGGCAGCAGUGGGGAAUAUUGCACAAUGGGCGAAAGCCUGAUGCAGCGACGCCGCGUGAGGGAUGACGGCCUUCGGGUUGUAAACCUCUUUCAGCAGGGACGAAGCGAAAGUGACGGUACCUGCAGAAGAAGCACCGGCCAACUACGUGCCAGCAGCCGCGGUAAUACGUAGGGUGCAAGCGUUGUCCGGAAUUAUUGGGCGUAAAGAGCUCGUAGGCGGCUAGUCGCGUCGGCUGUGAAAACCUGGGGCUCAACCCCGGGCCUGCAGCCGAUACGGGCUGGCUAGAAUUCGGUAGGGGAGACUGGAAUUCCUGGUGUAGCGGUGAAAUGCGCAGAUAUCAGGAGGAACACCGGUGGCGAAGGCGGGUCUCUGGGCCGAUAUUGACGCUGAGGAGCGAAAGCGUGGGGAGCGAACAGGAUUAGAUACCCUGGUAGUCCACGCCGUAAACGUUGGGAACUAGGUGUGGGCCACAUUCCACGUGGUCUGUGCCGCAGCUAACGCAUUAAGUUCCCCGCCUGGGGAGUACGGAAU
RNAcentral lists this ribosomal RNA (648 nucleotides) under uncultured Actinomycetes bacterium. RNAcentral describes it as "bacterial SSU rRNA". It matches the Rfam family "Bacterial small subunit ribosomal RNA", at positions 230 to 888 of the family's 1533-position model. Lineage: Bacteria; Bacillati; Actinomycetota; Actinomycetes. The record is from RNAcentral.